CACGGGGGGAGCAAGCGUUGUUCGGAAUCACUGGGCGUAAAGGGCGUGUAGGCGGUCAGGUAAGUGGAAUGUGAAAUGCCCCGGCUCACCCGGGGACCGGCAUCCCAAACUGCCUGGCUUGAGUACGGGAGAGGAUGGAGGAAUUCCUGGUGUAGCGGUGAAAUGCGUAGAUAUCAGGAGGAACACCGGUGGCGAAGGCGUCCAUCUGGCCCGAUACUGACGCUGAGGCGCGAAAGCUAGGGGAGCAAACGGG
This 253-nucleotide ribosomal RNA is filed under the name uncultured bacterium. RNAcentral's name for it is "partial 16S ribosomal RNA". It matches the Rfam family "Bacterial small subunit ribosomal RNA", at positions 524 to 776 of the family's 1533-position model. The record is from RNAcentral.